AGCCUGAAACAACAGAAACACAAAUUCAACCGCCUGUGGCAUCGACAUCUUUUGAUACAUCACUAUCUUUUGAAUCAUCGGCUGAAGAAGACAGUUAUAGUGACGAAGAAUCCCAAAAAUCUCAAUGGAUAGAGGAAAACAUUAAACUAAGAAAUUCUAAAGAUGAGGAGCCAUCAAAACCCUGUGAUGCAUUUGGUAAAAUAAAGUUUACAGGACAUAAUCAGGAAAAUGCAACGGUAUUCUUUUUGCUUGCUUUUUAUUGAUGUUGUUU
Molecule: long non-coding RNA, 271 nt
Organism: Octopus sinensis (East Asian common octopus)
Lineage: Eukaryota; Metazoa; Mollusca; Cephalopoda; Octopoda; Octopodidae
Exons: 4
Source: RefSeq, a predicted model, not a curated record